This 500-nucleotide long non-coding RNA is filed under the name Monodelphis domestica (gray short-tailed opossum). RNAcentral's name for it is "lncRNA (ENSMODG00000033514.2)". Lineage: Eukaryota; Metazoa; Chordata; Mammalia; Didelphimorphia; Didelphidae. The record is from RNAcentral.
AGAUUGUUUUGGCAGAGCAACAACUCCAGGACUGGAGUUAUGAAGCUCUUCCAAGAGAGGAGGAGGCAUGUAGUCCAUUAGCCGCUGGCAGAUGAGGCUGGAAGUUUUACUUGAUUGGGAAAGUGAGUUACCUGGGAAUUAGAAGGAAAAGAAAUGGACUUUCUUAAAUAACCUUGAAAGAGUCAUCUCUACAUAUAGCCCAGAAAGGACAGUAAGAGAACACCCUAAGAAGCACACCACUAAAUGAUGAAAGAGUGGCACAGAGAGAGGUUUAAACUGACAGGGAUUAUUUCAGGAGAAGUCCAUGAAGAAAGUUCAGCAUGGGAAUGAGUCCUUAAGAGCAAGUAUCCCUUGCCCCAGCUGUGAGUAAUUGUUAAGGCUUUUGAUAGAAUUGGCCUUAAGUCUCAAAGCAAAGCUGGUAUAGAGGUGGUAAUGGGGAGGCGGGGGGCAGUAUUGCAGAGCUCUAAUAUGUAUGUUUAAAUAAGUUAAGAAUGAUAAGU